Molecule: transfer RNA, 469 nt
Filed under: uncultured bacterium
Lineage: Bacteria
Description: partial may contain 16S ribosomal RNA, 16S-23S ribosomal RNA intergenic spacer, and 23S ribosomal RNA
Rfam family: tRNA (bases 196-269)
Source: RNAcentral
UCGGAAGGUGCGGCUGGAUCACCUCCUUUCGAGAACGACUUAACUUUCCACCCAAGGUUCCCACACAAGACACCUGCAUAUCCAGAAAAUGACGCACGUCCCAACGGGGCUGUAGCUCAGCUGGGAGAGCACCGCGUUUGCAACGCGGGGGUCACCGGUUCGAUCCCGGUCAGCUCCACCAGAUCUAAGAUCUUUGGGUCUGUAGCUCAGGUGGUUAGAGCGCGCCCCUGAUAAGGGCGAGGUCGGUGGUUCGAGUCCUCCCAGACCCACCAACACUGGAUAUGGUCAGCGCACACGAAUUUUGAAGCAUCCAGACGUUGAGGUCUGGAUGUGUUCUUUGACAAUUUGGGACGUAACAAGCGUCUGAACUCUCACCGAGUUUAGAUGCGUCGUUGAGGCAAUUAGGCGAGUCUUGGCGUAUGACUUCGAGGUGACUUGGAGUUAUAUGAUCAAGCGAAUAAGCGUCUAC